This 301-nucleotide ribosomal RNA is filed under the name uncultured bacterium. RNAcentral describes it as "partial 16S ribosomal RNA". It matches the Rfam family "Bacterial small subunit ribosomal RNA", at positions 509 to 807 of the family's 1533-position model. The record is from RNAcentral.
CAGCAGCCGCGGGAAUACAGAGGGUGCAAGCGUUAAUCGGAUUUACUGGGCGUAAAGCGUGCGUAGGCGGCUUCUUAAGUCGGAUGUGAAAUCCCUGAGCUUAACUUAGGAAUUGCAUUCGAUACUGGGAAGCUAGAGUAUGGGAGAGGAUGGUAGAAUUCCAGGUGUAGCGGUGAAAUGCGUAGAGAUCUGGAGGAAUACCGAUGGCGAAGGCAGCCAUCUGGCCUAAUACUGACGCUGAGGUACGAAAGCAUGGGGAGCAAACAGGAUUAGAUACCCCCGUAGUCCCUGUCUCUUAUAC